UACGUAGGGUGCGAGCGUUGUCCGGAAUUAUUGGGCGUAAAGAGCUCGUAGGCGGUGUGUCGCGUCGGCCGUGAAAACCUGCAGCUUAACUGUGGGCUUGCGGUCGAUACGGGCAUCACUGGAGUUCGGCAGGGGAGACUGGAAUUCCUGGUGUAGCGGUGAAAUGCGCAGAUAUCAGGAAGAACACCAACGGCGAAGGCAGCUCGCUGGGACGGAACUGACGCUGAGGCGCGAAAGCGUGGGGAGCGAACAGG
This 254-nucleotide ribosomal RNA is filed under the name uncultured bacterium. RNAcentral's name for it is "partial 16S ribosomal RNA". It matches the Rfam family "Bacterial small subunit ribosomal RNA", at positions 524 to 776 of the family's 1533-position model. The record is from RNAcentral.